UGUGCGUGCAGGAGCUGGCGGCGUGACCUCCUGGUGACGUGAGCUCCUAGAGGCGUGAAAAAUCCUUUGGCAAUGUGAGCUCCUGGCGGCAGCGCUGGAGAUCGCGAGGGGGAGGUACGAGCAGGUGAGCAGCCCAACUAAUAGGUCCAAUUAUAAUGAUGGGACCUGUUUUGAAAUAUUGAAGGCUAGUUAUUAGCUAUCUGCUGUGGGUUGAUAUAUUUUUGGAAAUUUAUUUUUGGAAGAACCCCCGAUACAUAGUUUUGGGAAAUAACUUUUUUGGAAACUCUUGGAGUUGCUCUUAUAAAAAAGAGCACAUUUUAUUUCUAAUUAUAUUCAUAUUAUUUUUUAAAAGUCUUGUCCCUCACCGUUGACUCGAAGCCUUGGUCCUCGCCAAGUCAUCUUGAAAGGAAUUAGAAAAAAAGAGUGCACAUUUCUAAUAACUAUAUAUUCAUAUUACUCUACCUUUUACAAGUGUUGGUCCCUCACCGUCGACUCGAAGUCUUGGUCCUUCCCAAGUCAUCCUGAAAGGAAUUAGACAAAAAGAGUGCACAUUUCUGAUAACUAUAUAUUCAUAUUACUAUACUUUUUACAAGUGUUGUUCCC
Molecule: long non-coding RNA, 603 nt
Filed under: Setaria viridis
Lineage: Eukaryota; Viridiplantae; Streptophyta; Magnoliopsida; Poales; Poaceae
Description: long non-coding RNA (SVIR_LNC007348)
Source: RNAcentral